GCAGCGGUGGUUCAGUGGUAGAGUUCUCACCUUCCGUGUGGGAGACCCAGGUUCGAUAUCUGACCAAUGUA
Molecule: transfer RNA, 71 nt
Filed under: Loxodonta africana (African savanna elephant)
Lineage: Eukaryota; Metazoa; Chordata; Mammalia; Proboscidea; Elephantidae
Rfam family: tRNA
About the family: Transfer RNA (tRNA) molecules are approximately 80 nucleotides in length.
Source: Rfam by way of RNAcentral